RNAcentral lists this long non-coding RNA (706 nucleotides) under Sorghum bicolor (sorghum). Its description in RNAcentral is "long non-coding RNA (SBIC_LNC005776)". Lineage: Eukaryota; Viridiplantae; Streptophyta; Magnoliopsida; Poales; Poaceae. The record is from RNAcentral.
UGCGCGAGAUGCAUCCGCGUCAACGUGAAAAUACAAGAUAAGACUUCUCUAUAUCAAAGGGGCCCGCAUUGUGGGUGUAGAUUAAUCUUAGCAAGGAGCGGGACUUGCUGGAGCAGAGAGAUCCAAGCUGUUGGCUUGAGAUCUGCAGAUGGUGCCCUCUUUGAUCCUUUUUCUCUCUAUCAUUUGCAGGUAUUGCUUGUUGUAGUUCAGUAGUGCAUAAAUAACCCCAUGUUAGUUGAAUUAAGGGGAAUGAUCUAUUCGAGGAUUUCAUUGGUGCAUUUUAUUGAAGAGAAUGAUGAUUUCUUAGGCUUCUUGGGAAUCUGGCGAUGAGCGCCGUGCCAUCAGCAUGUGUAGCCGAGGGCGUGACCCCCAUGGUAGCAGAGCUCGGCCGUGGAACAACCCCACGACGACGGCCGAGCCGUGGUCGGCCAGGGAGCGCCCCCCGUGACGGCGGCACUUGGCCGGGGAGCAUCUGCGUGCAACGAUGGCGGGGCAGGCACGCUCGUGCCGCCAGGGGGUGCCUCUCCGCGAUGGUGGCGAGCGAUGGCACAUCCGCGCAUGUCAUGGGCAAGCUCGUGUAGCAGCGGCGCAUCUACGACUAUGACAAUUCCGCGCGGAGACGAGAACCAAGGAGUGAAGGAGGCGAGGAUGACGAUAAUCAACAUGGUCAGUGAGCGCAUGGCCACUUCUAGCAGCGGCUGAUGUU